Molecule: long non-coding RNA, 911 nt
Organism: Pseudoliparis swirei
Lineage: Eukaryota; Metazoa; Chordata; Actinopteri; Perciformes; Liparidae
Exons: 5
Source: RefSeq, a predicted model, not a curated record
AUUGCUUAUUUUCUUCUACACACUACUGCAUAACACAUGGAAGCGUUGCCAGAUUGAGUCCAUGUCUUCACACAGAGUGUCUCCUGUGACGACCAUGAAGGGCUGAUGAGGGGAGCUGAUGAAAUCUGUUCAAUCUAGAAGCCACUAGUUUUCUGCCCAGUGUGAUGUAUCAUGUUGUAAUGUGUGUACUGUAGGUCUAAUAUGACUAAAUCUUAAUUUAUUUCUCUUUCCGUUAGAUUCUGGCUGAAUUCUGUCGCUUAUCAAGCAAAAAUCUGAGUUGCAAUCAGAGUUCUUCAAAGAUCUCGACAAAUACACUCCUCGCUUCCUGGAGAAGUUCAAGACCCAGAGGGGGAAAGUGUCGGACAGAAACUUGAAUAUCUGCAACAAGUCACACCUGGGAGUACAGAUGUGACUGGGAGGUGAACAGCAGUCCUCCGUGGCUCUCCGUCAUCCUUGGAGAUGACAACGCAGACUUCUUCAAGAAUUUGAGGUUCAGGAGCAGCCAAUAUGAUGCAGGUGUGACGGCUGACGAUGGUGUGAGUUUAGGAUGGCGUGAAGCUUCGACUUGACCCUAUGGAAACAAAGCAGAUGCCACCAAAGGGUCCUGAUCGGGGACUCUGAUGACCUUCUGGACGUGUCCCACACCUCCAUUGGGACCCUGACGGUGCUGAAGACAUCGUGGCCUCCUCACUCGCUGGACCUGGAGUCUACAACUACUGCCAUCGUUUUGGGAGGAACAGUCGUGAUGGGUGACCGUGAUAAUCUUCCCCGUGCCGUGUGGCUACUCUUGGACUUAUUUACCCCUGAAUUUGGAGUAUCCUCAACGAGUGAGGAACACCUUCUGAAUUUAUUCAUAGAGUGCUUCUCACUUGGACCAAAAACCCUAAAAUACAAUCACUCAAAUAUCUACU